CCUGGUGCCUUUGGCGGUAUGGACCCACGCUGACCCAUCCCGAACUCAGUGGUGAAACAUGCCUGCGGCGACGAUAGUUGGGCGGUAGCGCCCUGUCAAAAUAGCACGGUGCCAGGU
Molecule: ribosomal RNA, 117 nt
Filed under: Synechococcales cyanobacterium T60_A2020_003
Lineage: Bacteria; Bacillati; Cyanobacteriota; Cyanophyceae; Synechococcales
Source: RNAcentral